Molecule: small nuclear RNA, 143 nt
Filed under: Oncorhynchus kisutch (coho salmon)
Lineage: Eukaryota; Metazoa; Chordata; Actinopteri; Salmoniformes; Salmonidae
Description: U5 spliceosomal RNA (ENSOKIG00005020513.1)
Rfam family: U5 spliceosomal RNA
About the family: U5 RNA is a component of both types of known spliceosome. The precise function of this molecule is unknown, though it is known that the 5' loop is required for splice site selection and p220 binding, and that both the 3' stem-loop and the Sm site are important for Sm protein binding and cap methylation.
Source: Rfam by way of RNAcentral
CGACUCUGGUUUCUCUUCAUUACGCACAAGCCUUUCGCCUUUUACACAAGCCUUUCGCCUUUUACUUUCGCCUUUUACCUCCGUGGAGAGGAACACUUGCGAGUUCAAUGUAUUUUUGGAGGGGCUUUGCUUCUGGCAGAGCC